GAUGAACGCUGGCGGCGUGCCUAAUACAUGCAAGUCGAGCAGUAAGGCCUCUUCGGAGGUACACGAGCGGCGGACGGCUGAGUAACGCGUAGGAACGUACCCCAAAGUGAGGGAUAAGCACCAGAAAUGGUGUCUAAUACCGCAUGUGGCCCACGGGCUAAAGCUUCGGCGCUUUGGGAACGGCCUGCGUAAGAUUAGCUAGUUGGUGAGGUAAUGGCUCACCAAGGCGACGAUCUUUAGCUGGUCUGAGAGGAUGAUCAGCCAGACUGGGACUGAGACACGGCCCAGACUCCUACGGGAGGCAGCAGUAGGGAAUUUUCCACAAUGGGCGAAAGCCUGAUGGAGCAACGCCGCGUGCAGGAUGAAUGCCUUCGGGUUGUAAACUGCUUUUAUAUGCGACGAAUAUGACGGUAGCAUAUGAAUAAGGAUCGGCUAACUCCGUGCCAGCCGCCGCCGUAA
Molecule: ribosomal RNA, 459 nt
Filed under: uncultured bacterium
Lineage: Bacteria
Description: partial 16S ribosomal RNA
Rfam family: Bacterial small subunit ribosomal RNA
Source: RNAcentral